AUUACAUGGUGAGGACAUUUCUGCAGAAGGUCUUUGAAUCUCUCCAAUGCAUCUGAUACCAAUUUCAUCGUCUUCUUGACAAAACGUCAUAAUUUCAUUUCCAAUUUU
Small nucleolar RNA from Cynara cardunculus var. scolymus (artichoke), 108 nucleotides. The record is from RefSeq and is a predicted model, not a curated record. Lineage: Eukaryota; Viridiplantae; Streptophyta; Magnoliopsida; Asterales; Asteraceae.